This 774-nucleotide ribosomal RNA is filed under the name uncultured Neocallimastigales. RNAcentral's name for it is "partial large subunit ribosomal RNA". It matches the Rfam family "Eukaryotic large subunit ribosomal RNA", at positions 26 to 634 of the family's 3401-position model. Lineage: Eukaryota; Fungi; Neocallimastigomycota; Neocallimastigomycetes; Neocallimastigales. The record is from RNAcentral.
CGCAUCUGUGCAUGCAGCAUAUCAAUAAGCGGAGGAAAAGAAACUAACAAGGAUACCCCUAGUAACGGCGAGUGAAGCGGGAAGAGCUCAAAUUUGAAAUCUUAAAGGGUUUCCCUUUACGAAUUGUAGUUUAAAGAAGUGUUUUCUGUUGAGGUUUUGGUAAAAGUUCUUUGGAAUAGGACAUCAUAGAGGGUGAGAAUCCCGUAUUUGACCUUUACUUUCAACUUUGUGAUACACUUUCAAAGAGUCGGAUUGUUUGGGAAUGCAGUCCAAAAUGGGUGGUAAAUUUCAUCUAAAGCUAAAUAUUGGCGAGAGACCGAUAGCGAACAAGUACCGUGAGGGAAAGAUGAAAAGAACUUUGAAAAGAGAGUUAAACAGUACGUGAAAUUGUCAAAAGGGAAGCGUUUGACACCAGUGUUGUUUUUCUGAAAAUCAAUUAAAGAACUGUUUAUGCUAAGCUGUUUAGACUUUAUCAGCUAUCUGUUUAGUUUUAGGCUUUUCUUUAAUGCACUUUUCAGUUAACAAGUCAACAUCAAUUUCUUUUGCUGUAAAAAAGCUUGAGGAAGGUGGCUUGAGAUUCGUCUUAAGUGUUUAUAGCCUCUUGCCUAUGCAGUCGGAGAGAUUGAGGUCUGCAGCGUAGAUCCUUCGGGGCUAAAUGCAUUUGUGCUAAGUUAUAACAUUUUAUAGACAACUUGUUGACUAUGAUUUGUCUUGUAGCUUACUCGCUUAUGUUAUUUUACCUACGCUUAGGAUGUUGAACGCGCACAGAGUCUC